RNAcentral lists this ribosomal RNA (465 nucleotides) under Vreelandella stevensii. Its description in RNAcentral is "partial 16S ribosomal RNA". It matches the Rfam family "Bacterial small subunit ribosomal RNA", at positions 338 to 795 of the family's 1533-position model. Lineage: Bacteria; Pseudomonadati; Pseudomonadota; Gammaproteobacteria; Oceanospirillales; Halomonadaceae. The record is from RNAcentral.
CCUACGGGUGGCAGCAGUGGGGAAUAUUGGACAAUGGGGGCAACCCUGAUCCAGCCAUGCCGCGUGUGUGAAGAAGGCCCUCGGGUUGUAAAGCACUUUCAGUGAGGAAGAACGCCUGGUGGUUAAUACCCAUCAGGAAAGACAUCACUCACAGAAGAAGCACCGGCUAACUCCGUGCCAGCAGCCGCGGUAAUACGGAGGGUGCGAGCGUUAAUCGGAAUUACUGGGCGUAAAGCGCGCGUAGGUGGCUUGAUAAGCCGGUUGUGAAAGCCCCGGGCUCAACCUGGGAACGGCAUCCGGAACUGUCAAGCUAGAGUGCAGGAGAGGAAGGUAGAAUUCCCGGUGUAGUGGUGAAAUGCGUAGAGAUCGGGAGGAAUACCAGUGGCGAAGGCGGCCUUCUGGACUGACACUGACACUGAGGUGCGAAAGCGUGGGUAGCAAACAGGAUUAGAUACCCGAGUAGUC